AGAGUUUGAUCCUGGCUCAGGACGAACGUUGGCGGCGUGCUUAACACAUGCAAGUCGAGCGGGGCUUAGUAGAAAGUUUACUUUUUAUUUUGUCUAGCGGCGGACGGGUGAGUAACGCGUGGAUAAUCUGCCUGUAAGACAGGGAUAACGCCGGGAAACCGGUGCUAAUACCGGAUAACCUCUUUGGAUCGCAAGGUGUGCUCUUUACAAUGCUACCACUUAUAGAUGAAUCCGCGUCCCAUUAGUUAGUUGGCGAGGUAACGGCUCACCAAAACGAUGAUCAAUAGCCGGCCUGAGAGGGUGAACGGCCACACUGGAACUGAGAUACGGUCCAGACUCCUACGGGAGGCAGCAGUAAGGAAUAUUGGGCAAUGGGCGAAAGCCUGACCCAGCAACGCCGCGUGAGUGAAUAAGGCUUUCGGAUUGUAAAGCUCUGUUAUUAGGGAAAAAGGCAAUCGUGCUAACACCANNNNNNNNNNNGGCUAACUACGUGCAGCAGCCGCGGUAAUACGUAGGUUGCAAACGUUGUCCGGAGUUACUGGGUGUAAAGCGUGCGUAGGCGGCUUUCUAAGUCUGGUGUGAAAACUCCAGGCUCAACUUGGAGACUGCUUCUGAAACUGGUAGACUUGAGUGCAAGAGAGGGAAGUGGAAUUCCUAGUGUAGCGGUGAAAUGCGUAGAUAUUAGGAGGAACACCAGUGGCGAAGGCGACUUCCUGGCUUCUUAAUUGACGCUGAGGCACGAAAGCGUGGGGAGCAAACAGGAUUAGAUACCCUGGUAGUCCACGCUGUAAACGAUGAGUGCUAGGUGUCGGGGGUAUCGACCCCCUCGGUGCCACAGCUAACGCAAUAAGCACUCCGCCUGGGGAGUACGGUCGCAAGACUGAAACUCAAAGGAAUUGACGGGGGCCCGCACAAGCGGUGGAGUAUGUGGUUUAAUUCGACGCAACGCGAAGAACCUUACCAAGGCUUGACAUCCCGUGACCGCUAUGGAAACAUGGUCUUUCGCCUUCGGGUGAACACGGAGACAGGUGGUGCAUGGUUGUCGUCAGCUCGUGUCGUGAGAUGUUGGGUUAAGUCCCGCAACGAGCGCAACCCCUACAGCUAGUUGCCAGCACGUAAUGGUGGGAACUCUAGCAGAACUGCCGGUGAAGCGCCGGCCUACAGCCAGUUGCCAGCACAUGAUGGUGGGAACUCUGGCAGAACUGCCGUUGACAAAACGGAGGAAGGUGGGGAUGACGUCAAAUCAUCAUGCCCCUUAUGUCUUGGGCUACACACGUACUACAAUGGCCUGAACAGAGGGAAGCAAAACUGCGAAGUUAAGCGAAUCCCUUAAAACAGGUCCCAGUUCGGAUUGUAGGCUGCAACUCGCCUACAUGAAGUCGGAAUCGCUAGUAAUCGCAGGUCAGCAUGCCGCGGUGAAUACGUUCCCGGGCCUUGUACACACCGCCCGUCACACCACGAAAGUCGGCAACACCCGAAGCCGGUGACUCAACCCAAAGGGAGAGAGCCGUCGAAGGUGGGGUUGGUAAUUGGGGUGAAGUCGUAACAAGGUAACC
Molecule: ribosomal RNA, 1556 nt
Filed under: uncultured bacterium
Lineage: Bacteria
Description: bacterial SSU rRNA
Rfam family: Bacterial small subunit ribosomal RNA
Source: RNAcentral